Molecule: ribosomal RNA, 507 nt
Filed under: Triticum aestivum (bread wheat)
Lineage: Eukaryota; Viridiplantae; Streptophyta; Magnoliopsida; Poales; Poaceae
Description: partial small subunit ribosomal RNA
Source: RNAcentral
AUGGUGUCGACUGACGUUGGGGGUGAAGUGAUUGUUGAGGAUGUGGCUCCAAUUCUACAGAUUAUGCCUGAGUUGACAGUGCUAUGUGAGGAGUCCACUCCACCUCUUUCGGUGGCGAUUCCGAAGGAGAUGGGCUUGCUAGGGGCGUUGGCGGUGCCCAUGACACCCUCACCACCGCCCUUGGAGUCUAGCCAGACAGACUUUAUGGUGUGUGCAGGUUUGGAUGCCUCGGUCACGCGCUUGCCUGUGACCGUUGGGCACGUGGUGCCCCCAGGUGGAGAUGUUGUUGGGACAAAUACGUUGGCACCUUGUUCCGAUGCUCUCUUUGCAAAAGAGCUUUGCAGCUUGCUCUCUAGCUUGGAGGCGGCUAGCCCUGGGUCUGGUAAAGUGGUUGCAUGCAUCCUGACCGAAAAGUUUAACAAAGACAAGAUCAAAAAGGUGGAGAAGUCUCUCAAAAGCAAAAACAAGAAGAGUGAUGCCUUAGGGAAGGCGUCUCCGGCUGCUUAA